CUACGGGAGGCAGCAGUGAGGAAUAUUGCACAAUGGGGGGAACCCUGAUGCAGCAACGCCGCGUGGAGGAUGACGCAUUUCGGUGUGUAAACUCCUUUUAUAUGUCAAGAAAAUGACGGUAGCAUAUGAAUAAGCACCGGCUAACUCCGUGCCAGCAGCCGCGGUAAUACGGAGGGUGCAAGCGUUACUCGGAAUCACUGGGCGUAAAGGACGCGUAGGCGGGUUGGAAAGUCAGGUGUGAAAUCCUACAGCUUAACUGUAGAACUGCACUUGAAACUUCUAAUCUAGAGUAUGGGAGGGGGAGAUGGAAUUAGUGGUUUAGGGGUAAAAUCCGUAGAUAUCACUAGGAAUACCUAAAGCGAAGGCGAUCUCCUGGAACACUACUGACGCUAAGGCGUGAAAGCGUGGGGAGCAAACAGGAUUAGAUACCCCCGUAGUC
RNAcentral lists this ribosomal RNA (439 nucleotides) under uncultured bacterium. Its description in RNAcentral is "partial 16S ribosomal RNA". It matches the Rfam family "Bacterial small subunit ribosomal RNA", at positions 339 to 795 of the family's 1533-position model. The record is from RNAcentral.